Molecule: ribosomal RNA, 446 nt
Filed under: uncultured bacterium
Lineage: Bacteria
Description: partial 16S ribosomal RNA
Rfam family: Bacterial small subunit ribosomal RNA
Source: RNAcentral
CCUACGGGUGGCAGCAGUCGAGAAUCAUUCACAAUGGGGGAAACCCUGAUGGUGCGACGCCGCGUGGGGGAAUGAAGGUCUUCGGAUUGUAAACCCCUGUCAUGUGGGAGCAAAUUAAAAAGAUAGUACCACAAGAGGAAGAGCCGGCUAACUCUGUGCCAGCAGCCGCGGUAAUACAGAGGUCUCAAGCGUUGUUCGGAAUCACUGGGCGUAAAGCGUGCGUAGGCUGUUUCGUAAGUCGUGUGUGAAAGGCGCGGGCUCAACCCGCGGACGGCACAUGAUACUGCGAGACUAGAGUAAGGGAGGGGGAACCGGAAUUCUCGGUGUAGCAGUGAAAUGCGUAGAUAUCGAGAGGAACACUCGUGGCGAAGGCGGGUUCCUGGACAGUAACUGACGCUGAGGCACGAAGGCCAGGGGAGCGAAAGGGAUUAGAUACCCUGGUAGUC